UGGGGAAUAUUGGACAAUGGGCGCAAGCCUGAUCCAGCCAUGCCGCGUGAGUGAUGAAGGCCCUAGGGUUGUAAAGCUCUUUCACCGGUGAAGAUAAUGACGGUAACCGGAGAAGAAGCCCCGGCUAACUUCGUGCCAGCAGCCGCGGUAAUACGAAGGGGGCUAGCGUUGUUCGGAUUUACUGGGCGUAAAGCGCACGUAGGCGGACUUUUAAGUCAGGGGUGAAAUCCCGGGGCUCAACCCCGGAACUGCCUUUGAUACUGGAAGUCUUGAGUAUGGUAGAGGUAAGUGGAAUUCCGAGUAUAGAGGUGAAAUUCGUAGAUAUUCGGAGGAACACCAGUUGCGAAGGCGGCUCACUGGACCAUUACUGACGCUGAGGUGCGAAAGCGUGGGGAGCAAACAGG
Molecule: ribosomal RNA, 404 nt
Filed under: Actinomycetes bacterium
Lineage: Bacteria; Bacillati; Actinomycetota; Actinomycetes
Description: Actinobacteria bacterium partial 16S ribosomal RNA
Rfam family: Bacterial small subunit ribosomal RNA
Source: RNAcentral